RNAcentral lists this long non-coding RNA (390 nucleotides) under Monodelphis domestica (gray short-tailed opossum). RNAcentral's name for it is "lncRNA (ENSMODG00000036849.1)". Lineage: Eukaryota; Metazoa; Chordata; Mammalia; Didelphimorphia; Didelphidae. The record is from RNAcentral.
AUGCUGGACCUCUCCCUGCCCUGGUUAGAGCCUGGGUUUUCUGACUGUGACAGGUCUGUUAUUUCCAGGUUAACCAAUGGCGAGCCAGCUAGGAGGCCCAAGCGAUGGCUGCCUGAACCUGCAGCCAGCUGGACCUGCGGCGCACACAAGAGCCCUCUGAGUUCAGUCAUGAGACAGCUGGGCAGUUCCUUUAGGUCUCUGGAGAAACCGAUCUACUGUCAUCCUUUCCCCUUGAAGCUUUCCAGUUGCUGUUCUGUGUCCUGCACGUCGGUCCUGGAGGGUCUGUUUCUCCAGAGCAGGUUGAGGCUUGGAGGAGCUCCAGUUUGGGGCCUUGGACUGCUUCUGGUAAGACUGCUCUUGGAGCUUCUCUUUGAACUACCAUGUGGGUAA